GGAGAGAUGGCCGAGUGGUCGAAGGCGCCUGAUUCGAAAUCAGGUGAGCUCGCAAGGGUUCCGGGGGUUCGAAUCCCUUUCUCUCCGCCA
RNAcentral lists this transfer RNA (90 nucleotides) under Polyangiaceae bacterium. Its description in RNAcentral is "tRNA-Ser". It matches the Rfam family "tRNA". From Rfam's summary of the family: Transfer RNA (tRNA) molecules are approximately 80 nucleotides in length. Their secondary structure includes four short double-helical elements and three loops (D, anti-codon, and T loops). Lineage: Bacteria; Pseudomonadati; Myxococcota; Polyangiales; Polyangiaceae. The record is from RNAcentral.